Long non-coding RNA from Pongo pygmaeus (Bornean orangutan), 954 nucleotides. RefSeq lists it as uncharacterized. Lineage: Eukaryota; Metazoa; Chordata; Mammalia; Primates; Hominidae. The record is from RefSeq and is a predicted model, not a curated record. The transcript is spliced from 3 exons.
ACUCCCAUGCAGCCUGCAGUCCUAAAGAGGCCAGACUCAUUCCCACCAUGUCCCCACAACAGCACCAACUCUAUUUCCAGGCAGCUGAUGGCCAGGGCUGAGAACCUGCUCCAGACCACCAGCUUCCCCAUUAAGAAAGCAAGCAGACUCAGUUUUUUGGCAUCACAGGGAGCCUGCAGCAGUGAUCCAUUUCCUUCAAAGGAUCUUAGGAGGCCUAGAAAGCUUAGGAUCCUAUGCAAAACCCUACUCUAACUCAUUUCAAGUGUCUGGAAAUGUAGUACAUGCCGUGGACUGACUUCAGUACUUUCUCUCACCUUUACUUCAUUCACAACCUAGAAGGAACUACAGGGAAACGAUGCAGUACUCCCAUCUGAAUUCAGCAUUGAAAGGUCUUUUGUUCCCUAUCUGAGAAUGAGAUGGAAAUCAUUCAAAAGGAAAUUAUGUGAAAACAGCUGCCUUAUAUCAAUUUGUGGCCAUGUGGAUUCUGGUUCUUGGUUCUCCGGAAGCCUCUCCACCUCUACUAUGCAAAGGCCUGCAUAGCCAUGAAGAACCCCGUGAACACACUCCAAGACUGAUUUCUACUUGCAUUAAGAAGGUCUGUGUUUCCCCUCUUGAAAGGUAGCUGGAUUCAAUAACUCGCUAAAUUAUAACACCUACAUAAGGAGCAAACUUUCCAGCCUAUGGGUGAGAGUUGAGGGUACUGACUGAUAUUGCUAUAGGUUAGUGUAGUGAUUGGGAGUGCAGUUUCUAAUCAGACUGGUUGGGUUUGAAUCUCUGCUCCAGCUCUUAUUAGCUAUGUGACUUCAGGCAAUUUAAUAAACUCCCUCUGAAAUAGAAUUAUAAAUAGUACCAGUAUCAAGGGAUUGUUAUGAGAAUUAAAUGUGAUAAUGUCUCUGGAGCACUUAGAACAGUUCCUAUUUCAUCAUCAGUGUUUAAUAAAUUCCAACACACUAU